UCUGAAUCACUGAAUCAGUGUCCCACGGAGU
Molecule: non-coding RNA, 31 nt
Filed under: Rattus norvegicus (Norway rat)
Lineage: Eukaryota; Metazoa; Chordata; Mammalia; Rodentia; Muridae
Source: RNAcentral